AUUCCAGCUCCAAUAGCGUAUAUCAAAGUUGUUGCGGUUAAAAAGCUCGUAGUUGGAUUUCUGUCGGUGAAUAUCAGUCCGCCCACAGCGGUAGGUACGUGAUAUUUCACCGGCAUCUUCCUGGGGAAUGUGUCUGCUCUUUAUUGAGUGGUACAUAAGCCAGGACUUUUACUUUGAAGAAAUGAGAGUGUUUCAAGCAGGCAUGCGCCGUGAAUACGUUAGCAUGGGAUAAUAGCACCGGACCUCGUUCCAAAGCUGUUGGUUUCUUGGACCGAGGUAAAGGUGAAUAGGGAUUGUUGGGGGCAUUCGUAUUUGACUGUCAGAGGUGAAAUUCUUGGAUUUGUUGAAGACGGACUACUGCGAAAGCAUCUGCCAAAGAUGUUCUCAUCA
RNAcentral lists this ribosomal RNA (390 nucleotides) under Syndiniales sp. RNAcentral's name for it is "partial small subunit ribosomal RNA". It matches the Rfam family "Eukaryotic small subunit ribosomal RNA", at positions 582 to 975 of the family's 1831-position model. The record is from RNAcentral. Lineage: Eukaryota; Dinophyceae; Syndiniales.